This is a long non-coding RNA of Sinocyclocheilus anshuiensis, 359 nucleotides long. RefSeq lists it as uncharacterized. The record is from RefSeq and is a predicted model, not a curated record. The transcript is spliced from 3 exons. NCBI's taxonomy places the organism in Eukaryota, Metazoa, Chordata, Actinopteri, Cypriniformes, Cyprinidae.
UAGGUCCUACUCAGGAUAUAAACCGCCACACUGUGGGCGGAAGAGCCCUCAGUCUGUCGUGGAAGAAACUGAUGCUCUGUGUGUGGCCCUAUGUUAGCCUUACCUGUGGACAUCUGCUUUUUUUUCCUAUGCAGAAGACCGAGUACCAGGAUGCUUCACUGCUGCUUUGAGAGUGGAAUGUGGUGACCUGUGACCGUGGCCUGAGGAUAAGCUUCUGCGUUUCUACGAAUACUGUUUAAUGUGUAAAAUUCCCCCCUGGUGAUGUUUGUGUAAAUCUAUGGCUCUCUUUUAUGUACUUUGUGUAAGUUUGCUUUUUAUUUAUUUUUUUAUUACUAUUAAAUGAGACUUUGAACCCAUCG